CAGCACCUCAAGUGGUCAGGAUGAUUAUUGGGCCUAAAGCAUCCGUAGCCGGCGCUGUAAGUUUUCGGUUAAAUCUGUACGCUCAACGUACAGGCUGCCGGGAAUACUGCAGCGCUAGGGAGUGGGAGAGGUAGACGGUACUCGGUAGGAAGGGGUAAAAUCCUUUGAUCUAUUGAUGACCACCUGUGGCGAAGGCGGUCUACCAGAACACGUCCGACGGUGAGGGAUGAAAGCUGGGGUAGCAAAUCGGAUUAGAUACCCGAGUAGUCC
Molecule: ribosomal RNA, 270 nt
Filed under: uncultured archaeon
Lineage: Archaea
Description: partial 16S ribosomal RNA
Rfam family: Archaeal small subunit ribosomal RNA
Source: RNAcentral